AUUGUUCGCGCUGGCGGUUCUCCAAGGUUGGCGCGACUUCCCGCGCGACAACGCACUCCUAGCAGUGUGCUGAAGAACCCCCUCGCCACGGAGGAAGCUUGAUGAUUCACUUUAUCAUCUCGAAUCGCGGAGGCGAUCAUGCGUGGCAGGUUUACGGAUCAGGGCGGCCUGUUUUCGUACAUCGCGCCCGAUAAGCGGGUGCCGGCGAACCAUCCGUUGCGGCAGGUCCGGGAACUUGUCCGGGAUGUUUUGAGUGAU
This 258-nucleotide unclassified non-coding RNA is filed under the name Hevea brasiliensis (rubber tree). Lineage: Eukaryota; Viridiplantae; Streptophyta; Magnoliopsida; Malpighiales; Euphorbiaceae. The record is from RNAcentral.